Molecule: long non-coding RNA, 1989 nt
Filed under: Equus asinus (donkey)
Lineage: Eukaryota; Metazoa; Chordata; Mammalia; Perissodactyla; Equidae
Description: lncRNA (ENSEASG00005024377.1)
Source: RNAcentral
CCGCUCCUCCGCUUCCUUCCUUUGCCCCCACGCCUUCCUUCUCUCCUUCUUCGGGACCCAUGCUGCGCCCCUGCCCAUCGCCCUUGCUCUCCUGCUCCCAGUGGGCCAGAAGCCAUCUGCUGUCUCUCGUCUCGUCCUUCCGCUGGCUCCCGCCACCGCCUUCCCUGGAGGCUCCCUCUUCCCUAGCCUUGGCCCGUCUCACCUUCCUGCCUCUUCCGUCUUCCCUUUCAUCAAGCCACUGUCUACUGGCCUCUACGCGGUCCCGCCGCUCAGUCCUCCGCUUCCUUCCUUUGCCCCCACGCCUUCCUUCUCUCCUUCUUCGGGACCCAUGCUGCGCCCCUGCCCAUCGCCCUUGCUCUCCUGCUCCCAGUGGGCCAGGUCGGGAUCCACCCCGCUCUGCCCUCUUGCCCUCUUGGGCACGGUCCCCUCACAACACCCACAUGCAGACUUUGAGAUGCUCCUCUCGGUCUCCAGCCCUUUCUGCCUUGCCCUCUCUCUGUUGUCCCUUGGCUGCAGCCGGCAGGGCAAGAGCCCCCACCUCCCAGCCCCCACUGUCCCACCCCUCGCUCUCUCCCUCCGCGCCCCUUGGCUGACAACGUCAUCUUCUGCGACACGACCUGUGACCCCACGCUGGUUUGAAGGUCCCCGUCUAUCCGUGCUUGCCUCUGCGGGCUCCUCCCGCCCCGUGCUAGACUACCUCCAUUCCUCUGCGGGUCCCCUGAAAUAGCAGAAGCAGGCAUUUGGCGAUCUUUGCGAACUCUCACCUCCGCCUUGCUUCCUACCUGCUCCUCUGCCAUUUCUAAGCGUGCCUGCCAUCCACACGCUGGACUCCAUGCUCGUGAGUCCAUCCCGAAGGCCCUGACGUGCUUCCUGAGCGGGGUGCCUCAUAACUGCCAGCCUGCCCCGUUUCCUCUGUGUCACUACAGCCACCGUAUCCCCUUUCCGCACCUGUUCCCCAGGGGUCCGGCUCUUCACACCCCCCGGGCCGUGAGUCCUGCCUCCGCGCUCCCGCCCUGCUCCUGCCACGUGGCCUCCAUUCCUCCCCUGCCAAGCCCCUUGCCCAGACAUCGGCCCAUGUCCCAACACCGCACGCUCUUCAGGCUGGCUUCCCCUUUUCCCACCCGGAGUCCCCCGCACCUUCACGAGGUUCCCUCCCCUCUUCAGUCCCGCCUGCCCCUGUCUCUUCCCAUCGGCUAUCCUGACCCCACCCACAGCCCGCAGACCACCUGCUCACGGCUGCCCGAGACUCCACUAUCGCCCUCUGCGCACGUCCCUGCUGUGCGGAUUUCAACCCUUCUUGGCCCAUCCUCCUCUUUUUCUCCCACUGUCGUCUCUGAGAGACCCUCGCGUCAUCUUCAGCCACCGUCCUACUCGCCCUCGUAGCUGUCGGGCCCGUGAGGCAGCCACCGUCUUCCCCCAGCAACUUGUGCCCUGGAUGCCCUGCCCUCAUGCUCCCCGCCUUGCCCUCUUCAUCGCCAACGUGCUGUGCCGAAUCCAUCUGCUCUCCCAGUUCGCUCCCAAGGCCCCUACCGUUUUAGCUGCCACCAUUUUUGAGACGGUCACUCCUCCUCUGGGCGUCUCUCUGACCUUUCCCGUCUCCCCGUGCCCCACACUGACAGGGCUGUCUCCAGCACCUUCCAGGCCACUACCACCACCGCCUCAUCCUCCUCCGUUCUCCUCCCUCCCGCCUCUCCUGCGUUCCUUGAUUCCUCGCCCACGCUGUGCUCUGCUCCCGGGUGCGCUUCCUCAGGGCCCUGGUCCACUCACGGGAACACACUUCCUUGAUUCUCCACGUCCAGCCCUUCCUUCGGGCCCUCCGCCGGCCCUCGUGGCCCGGCACGUCCCUGGUCCUCUGUGCAAGCCUCUCCUGUCCCCAGCGGUCAGGCGCCACGGCCUGCCCCUCUCCCGCUUCCGGCCGGCUGGACCGCCUCUCCUCGACCCUACUCUCCCGCGUCUUGCACGCUGCUCCCCUCACCUCCUCCUGCCUCC